AGUGAACGCUGGCGGUAGGCCUAACACAUGCAAGUCGAACGGCAGCACAGUAAGAGCUUGCUCUUACGGGUGGCGAGUGGCGGACGGGUGAGGAAUACAUCGGAAUCUACUUUUUCGUGGGGGAUAACGUAGGGAAACUUACGCUAAUACCGCAUACGACCUACGGGUGAAAGCAGGGGUUCUUCGGACCUUGCGCGAUUGAAUGAGCCGAUGUCGGAUUAGCUAGUUGGCGGGGUAAAGGCCCACCAAGGCGACGAUCCGUAGCUGGUCUGAGAGGAUGAUCAGCCACACUGGAACUGAGACACGGUCCAGACUCCUACGGGAGGCAGCAGUGGGGAAUAUUGGACAAUGGGCACAAGCCUGAUCCAGCCAUACCGCGUGGGUGAAGAAGGCCUUCGGGUUGUAAAGCCCUUUUGUUGGGAAAGAAAAGCAGCAGGUUAAUACCCCGCUGUUCUGACGGUACCCAAAGAAUAAGCACCGGCUAACUUCGUG
RNAcentral lists this ribosomal RNA (492 nucleotides) under uncultured bacterium. RNAcentral describes it as "partial 16S ribosomal RNA". It matches the Rfam family "Bacterial small subunit ribosomal RNA", at positions 29 to 507 of the family's 1533-position model. The record is from RNAcentral.